UAUAUCUAGCUGGCAGAUUGAAAGGUAAAACCUAACUGCUGUAAAAUGGGAGCAUUUUAUCAUCAUAUAGAAUUCAUUCAAUCAUUUUGUUUUCAAAAGAAAAGGAAUUCCUUUCAUUUUCUCAUGCAGCACAAGUUCUUUGCUAAACUCACAAAGAAUGAAUGAAUCAAGCAUCUCAGAAACAUAUUACACAGUUGUCGAUUCCACCCUACCUGUGGGCUUUUCCUUUUCUGGUACCUUUAUGUUAACUUAUUCCUUGUCAUGAUUUCAGGUACAGAUCUAAAGCCUAGAGUUCGUAAGCGCCAUUUAUUUAGAAGAUUACUUGGGAGGGAAUGAUGUAUUAAUGAUAAAGUAGGCGUGAAGCCUUACUUUGGAUGGAGUAAUUAAAAACCUCAGCAUAAUCACCCCAAGUUUCUAGCAUGGCGCUGCUCUGCCAAUGUUCAGAGGCAGAGAACUUCUCCAAGGGUAUUUUCUUGAAUGGGCAGGAGUAGAAAAAAAAAAGGCCAUGUUCAGGAUGUACUAAAAGAUGGACAAUUUUCUCAUACCCUGAAAUCAUUCCACUAGGUUCGCAUUCCUUGUAUAUAGAGUAGUAGACUAACUAAAGUUGUGAUUAAAUUCGUCAUUUGAGCGAUAGUUUGUUAUUAAUAGUAAGUUAGGUUGCAGAAAUUGCUUUAAAUUUUGAUUAAAUUGAACACGUGUAGCGUUUAAAUGCCACUCUAGUAUUAACUUGAAAUUUUGCAAUCUUCAACUUUUAGCUAGUUCACUGUUCGCGGGCUCCACAACAUUGGGCUCAUGCGGCAAUGGGCUCGGCUCAAAUUUUACUUUUGUAUCAUAUGUCAUAAAAUUAUCUAUUUUUCUUUCUGUUGGACAGAGCCUCGCCGGAGUCUGGACAAUGAUCAGGUACUAAGCUAGAGGCAUAAUAAAUCCAGACAACUGGAGCCAAAUCAUUCGAAAGGGAAAGAGAUCAUUUUUCUCAAAUAAAAACUGGUGGAUUUUUGUUUUGGUAUAGUUUUCAGUAAAUGUAGACAGAAUAUAGUUUUAAAAUGCAAAACCUUAUAUCAUUAUAGUUUUGUAUUAUAAAAUUUGAAAUAAAUUAUUUAUAAAA
This 1105-nucleotide unclassified non-coding RNA is filed under the name Hevea brasiliensis (rubber tree). Lineage: Eukaryota; Viridiplantae; Streptophyta; Magnoliopsida; Malpighiales; Euphorbiaceae. The record is from RNAcentral.